AUUAUUAUUAUUAUUAUUCCUUUUCCCUGCAGAAGCUGAAAAUUGGUUGUUCAAUAGCAAGCAUCGAUUAACUGAAAUGAGAUGAUGGGUGUGAACAUGACCAUCAAAGCACAUGGAUUCCCAAUUCAUAAAAUCGAUUCAGACCCAAAUUACCAUAAUGAAUCUAGGGAAAUGGCAGAUAAGAAGCACAUAGAAUCAUGGAUUCCACACACAACAUUAACAUCAUCAAACAAAUUAUCCAAAACACAUGCGCAUGGUCCAUUCUCAAGUCUCACAAAACAGGAAGAGAAAAAGAAAAAAAAAAGUAAAG
This 310-nucleotide unclassified non-coding RNA is filed under the name Hevea brasiliensis (rubber tree). The record is from RNAcentral. Lineage: Eukaryota; Viridiplantae; Streptophyta; Magnoliopsida; Malpighiales; Euphorbiaceae.